RNAcentral lists this ribosomal RNA (609 nucleotides) under uncultured bacterium. RNAcentral's name for it is "bacterial SSU rRNA". The stretch from base 1 to 529 matches the Rfam family "Bacterial small subunit ribosomal RNA", at positions 338 to 873 of the family's 1533-position model. The record is from RNAcentral.
CCUACGGGAGGCAGCAGUGAGGAAUAUUGGACAAUGGGCGCAAGCCUGAUCCAGCCAUGCCGCGUGCAGGAAGACGGUCCUAUGGAUUGUAAACUGCUUUUAUACAGGAAGAAACACCUCUACGUGUAGAGACUUGACGGUACUGUAUGAAUAAGCAUCGGCUAACUCCGUGCCAGCAGCCGCGGUAAUACGGAGGAUGCAAGCGUUAUCCGGAAUCAUUGGGUUUAAAGGGUCCGUAGGCGGUUUAAUAAGUCAGUGGUGAAAGCCCAUCGCUCAACGAUGGAACGGCCAUUGAUACUGUUAAACCUUGAAUUAUUAGGAAGUAACUAGAAUAUGUAGUGUAGCGGUGAAAUGCUUAGAGAUUACAUGGAAUACCAAUUGCGAAGGCAGGUUACUACUAAUAUAUUGACGCUGAUGGACGAAAGCGUGGGGAGCGAACAGGAUUAGAUACCCUGGUAGUCCACGCCGUAAACGAUGGAUACUAGCUGUUCGGAGCAAUNUNGUGNGUAGAGAAGAGAUAGUAUCCACCGUGGUAGUACGUCGCGAGAGAGAACGUACGAAGAAGUAGAGACGUGAGAGACGACGACGGACGACGACGAGGGGAGGAGG